GUGGGGAAUCUUCCGCAAUGGACGAAAGUCUGACGGAGCGACGCCGCGUGAGUGAAGAAGGCCUUCGGGUCGUAAAGCUCUGUCAUCAGGGACGAACGGCCGGUGGAGUGGAAAGCCACCGGAUUGACGGUACCUGAGAAGGAAGCCACGGCUAACUACGUGCCAGCAGCCGCGGUAAUACGUAGGUGGCAAGCGUUGUCCGGAAUUAUUGGGCGUAAAGCGCGCGCAGGUGGGAUCUUAAGUCCAUUUUUAAAGUUCGGAGCUCAACUCCGUGAUGGGAUGGAAACUGGGAUUCUUGAGUACCGGAGAGGAAAGCGGAAUUCCCCGUGUAGCGGUGAAAUGCGUAGAUAUGGGGAGGAACACCAGUGGCGAAGGCGGCUUUCUGGACGGUGUCUGACACUGAGGCGCGAAAGCCAGGGGAGCGAACGGGAUUAGAUACCCGUGUAGUCC
This 450-nucleotide ribosomal RNA is filed under the name uncultured bacterium. Its description in RNAcentral is "partial 16S ribosomal RNA". It matches the Rfam family "Bacterial small subunit ribosomal RNA", at positions 354 to 796 of the family's 1533-position model. The record is from RNAcentral.